RNA transcript from Suricata suricatta (meerkat), 1370 nucleotides. It is a transcript of the gene named RNA-binding protein 4, with no coding region annotated. The transcript has 5 exons. NCBI's taxonomy places the organism in Eukaryota, Metazoa, Chordata, Mammalia, Carnivora, Herpestidae. The record is from RefSeq and is a predicted model, not a curated record.
UCACUGCUGCGGCCGCCGCCAUUUUAGCGUUUUGUCCGAAGCGUCUGCGCCGCGAGGAAGAGCCCCUGCUGUUUUCUGUGCUGGCGCUGUCGAGAUGGUGAAGCUGUUCAUCGGAAACCUGCCCCGGGAGGCCACAGAGCAGGAGAUCCGCUCCCUCUUCGAGCAGUAUGGGAAGGUGCUGGAAUGUGACAUCAUUAAGAACUACGGCUUUGUGCACAUAGAGGACAAGACGGCGGCCGAGGAUGCCAUCCGCAACCUGCACCACUACAAGCUGCAUGGGGUGAACAUCAACGUGGAGGCCAGCAAGAACAAGAGCAAAACCUCCACCAAGCUGCACGUGGGCAACAUCAGUCCCACGUGUACCAACAAAGAGCUUCGCGCCAAGUUUGAGGAGUAUGGCCCAGUCAUCGAGUGUGACAUCGUGAAAGAUUACGCCUUCGUACACAUGGAGCGGGCGGAGGAUGCGGUGGAGGCCAUCAGGGGCCUUGACAACACAGAAUUUCAAGGCAAACGAAUGCACGUGCAGUUGUCCACCAGCCGGCUUAGGACUGCGCCCGGGAUGGGAGACCAGAGCGGCUGCUAUCGGUGCGGGAAAGAGGGGCACUGGUCCAAAGAGUGUCCGAUAGAUCGUUCGGGCCGAGUGGCAGACUUUACCGAGCAAUAUAAUGAGCAAUAUGGAGCAGUGCGUACACCUUACACCAUGAGCUAUGGGGAUUCAUUGUAUUACAACAACGCGUACGGAGCGCUCGAUGCCUACUACAAGCGCUGCCGUGCUGCCCGGUCCUAUGAGGCAGUGGCAGCUGCAGCUGCCUCUGCCUAUAAUUACGCAGAGCAGACCCUGUCCCAGCUGCCACAAGUCCAGAACACAGCCAUGGCCAGUCACCUCACCUCCACCUCUCUCGAUCCCUACGAUAGACACCUGUUGCCGACCUCAGGAGCUGCUGCUGCUACAGCUGCUGCUGCUGCAGCAGCCGCUGCUGCUGUUACUGCAGCUUCCACUUCAUAUUACGGGCGGGAUCGGAGCCCCCUGCGUCGCGCUACAGCCCCAGUCCCCACUGUUGGAGAGGGCUACGGUUACGGGCAUGAGAGUGAGUUGUCCCAAGCUUCGGCGGCCGCGCGGAAUUCCUUGUACGACAUGGCCCGGUAUGAGCGGGAGCAGUAUGCGGAUCGGGCGCGGUAUUCAGCUUUUUAAAGCUUGAGUUACUGUGAAGACUAUCCAGGUGGCAUCAUCUUAAUCUUGAAGCAGCGUUUUUCUGACGUUCCUGAACAGUUCACUCCCUAUGAGCUUUAUAGAAAAAACUUCUUUGAUGGUGGGAUGUGUGUGGGCUGAAAUUCCGAGCUGCGGUUGUGCAUGAGAAUACACCCUUCGU